GCGUCCCGAGUCAGCAAGUUGCAAAGUGCUAUUCAUUCAUAGCACUUUGCAACUUGCUGACUCGGGACGC
Non-coding RNA from Pelobates cultripes (western spadefoot toad), 70 nucleotides. The record is from the annotation of a GenBank genome assembly. NCBI's taxonomy places the organism in Eukaryota, Metazoa, Chordata, Amphibia, Anura, Pelobatidae.